This 327-nucleotide unclassified non-coding RNA is filed under the name soil metagenome. RNAcentral's name for it is "partial contains 5.8S ribosomal RNA, internal transcribed spacer 2, and large subunit ribosomal RNA". The stretch from base 1 to 120 matches the Rfam family "5.8S ribosomal RNA", at positions 35 to 154 of the family's 154-position model. The record is from RNAcentral.
GAUGAAGAACGCAGUGAAAUGCGAUAAGUAAUGUGAAUUGCAGAAUUCAGUGAAUCAUCGAAUCUUUGAACGCACAUUGCGCCCCUUGGUAUUCCGAGGGGCAUGCCUAUUCGAGCGUCAUUAUCACCCCUCAAGCUCCGGCUUGGUGUUGAGGCCUGCCGUCAGGGCACCCUCUAAAAUCAGUGGCAGUGCCGUCAGGCUCUAAGCGUAGUAAUUUCAUCGCUAUAGACCCGGGCGGACCCUCGCCAGAACCCCCCAUUUUUUAAUGAUUGACCUCGGAUUAGGUAGGGAUACCCGCUGAACUUAAGCAUAUCAAUAAGCGGAGGA